This 483-nucleotide ribosomal RNA is filed under the name uncultured bacterium. Its description in RNAcentral is "partial 16S ribosomal RNA". It matches the Rfam family "Bacterial small subunit ribosomal RNA", at positions 30 to 506 of the family's 1533-position model. The record is from RNAcentral.
AUUGAACGCUGGCGGCAUGCUUUACACAUGCAAGUCGAACGGCAGCACGGGCUUCGGCCUGGUGGCGAGUGGCGAACGGGUGAGUAAUAUAUCGGAACGUACCCAGAAGUGGGGGAUAACGUAGCGAAAGUUACGCUAAUACCGCAUACGAUCUAUGGAUGAAAGCAGGGGACCGCAAGGCCUUGUGCUCCUGGAGCGGCCGAUAUCUGAUUAGCUAGUUGGUGAGGUAAAGGCUCACCAAGGCGACGAUCAGUAGCUGGUCUGAGAGGACGACCAGCCACACUGGAACUGAGACACGGUCCAGACUCCUACGGGAGGCAGCAGUGGGGAAUUUUGGACAAUGGGCGCAAGCCUGAUCCAGCAAUGCCGCGUGAGUGAAGAAGGCCUUCGGGUUGUAAAGCUCUUUUGUCAGGGAAGAAACGGUAGAGGCUAAUAGCCUUUGCUAAUGACGGUACCUGAAGAAUAAACACCGGCUAACUACGU